This 76-nucleotide transfer RNA is filed under the name Clostridia bacterium. RNAcentral's name for it is "tRNA-Thr". It matches the Rfam family "tRNA". Rfam says of the family: Transfer RNA (tRNA) molecules are approximately 80 nucleotides in length. Lineage: Bacteria; Bacillati; Bacillota; Clostridia. The record is from RNAcentral.
GCUGUUGUAGCUCAGAUGGUAGAGUACAUCCUUGGUAAGGAUGAGGUCGGCGGUUCAAGCCCGCUCAACAGCUCCA